CGAAGGGGGCUAGCGUUGCUCGGAAUCACUGGGCGUAAAGGGCGCGUAGGCGGCCGAUCAAGUCAGAGGUGAAAGUCCAAGGCUCAACCUUGGAAUUGCCUUUGAUACUGUUCGGCUCGAGACCGGAAGAGGUAAGUGGAACUGCGAGUGUAGAGGUGAAAUUCGUAGAUAUUCGCAAGAACACCAGUGGCGAAGGCGGCUUACUGGUCCGGUUCUGACGCUGAGGCGCGAAAGCGUGGGGAGCAAACAGGAUUAGAUACCCUGGUAGUCCACGCCGUAAACGAUGGAUGCUAGCCGUUGGCAGGCUUGCCUGUCAGUGGCGCAGCUAACGCUUUAAGCAUCCCGCCUGGGGAGUACGGUCGCAAGAUUA
This 370-nucleotide ribosomal RNA is filed under the name uncultured organism. RNAcentral describes it as "bacterial SSU rRNA". It matches the Rfam family "Bacterial small subunit ribosomal RNA", at positions 526 to 896 of the family's 1533-position model. The record is from RNAcentral.